AAGAGUGUAAAUCGAUUUUAGGUGCAUUAAGAGCUUCAAAUUGGUUGUUGAUGGUGGUUGGUGUAUUGAUGGCAAUGACAAUAUUGUGAAUACUUGAGGAAUAUGAGGGUGAUAGAGUAAAACCAUCCACUCAACACCUCUUUCGAUUUUUUCAUAAUUCCUGGCAAUGACAAUAUUGUGAAUACUUGAGGAAUAUGGGAACACUAAACUAAACCAUCCACUCAACACCUCUUUUGGUUUUUUCAUAAUUCCUCUUCUCUCCACUCAAGGCGCCGCCUGACUCAGAUCUGUGUCUCUCCGGUGGCUGGGCUCUUCGCCGGCGCCAGAGAGACCCCCCCCCCCUCUCUUCUUUUCUUUUAUUUGGCUUGUCGAUGCGGUGGUAUUAUCUGGCUUUGGAGAAGGUGACGAGCCUUGUCGGAUCUCCAUGUCUUCCGUGGUCGUUUUCUGGCCCUUGUUCAAGUAUUUCGUUUUGGCCUUUGCCCAAGAGGAGCUUGUGCGGAAGAUGUAUCUUGAUUUGCUGUGGACAUCAAUCGUAUGUAGCAACAAGGGUCCUACUUGGCUGUAUCAGUUACUGCUGUUGGAGUCGUAUGUGAGACUCAUCGUAAGAGAAGAGAGGUUUAAGAGCAACUCCGUUCUUCGUGCUUGGUGUCUCACAAUCUCACGCCUCUCUUUGCUCUUUGAAUUUACAUUUUCCCACAUUUGGAUGGGAUUUUAAUUCAUGAUGCCUAUUGGUGGUUUUCCUAUUUAAAUUUUAUUACUAGCCGGUUUGGCUCAGUGUUGUAAGAACAUUUUGAAAUAUAAGCGUUAAAAAAAAGAGAGUAAAAUAUGCAUUUUCGAAAAAAA
Long non-coding RNA from Brassica napus (rape), 843 nucleotides. RefSeq lists it as uncharacterized. NCBI's taxonomy places the organism in Eukaryota, Viridiplantae, Streptophyta, Magnoliopsida, Brassicales, Brassicaceae. The transcript has 2 exons. The record is from RefSeq and is a predicted model, not a curated record.